Molecule: ribosomal RNA, 252 nt
Filed under: uncultured bacterium
Lineage: Bacteria
Description: partial 16S ribosomal RNA
Rfam family: Bacterial small subunit ribosomal RNA
Source: RNAcentral
UACGAGAGGCCCAAACGUUAUUCGGAAUUACUGGGCUUAAAGAGUUCGUAGGCGGCAUUGCAAGUAGGGUGUGAAAGCCCUCGGCUCAACCGAGGAAUUGCGCUCUAAACUGCAGUGCUUGAGGACCUAGAGGUGAGCAGAACAGAUGGUGGAGCGGUGAAAUGCGUUGAUAUCAUCUGGAAUACCGGAGGCGAAGGCGGCUCACUGGGAGUUUUCUGACGCUGAGGAACGAAAGCCAGGGUAGCGAACGGG